GCUUGGCUCUCUAUCGCAAGCAAAACGCACUGUAUAUAAAGAACACCAUCCCUUGUCCCUAUUAAAAAUUCACCUCUAAAUUCUUUUUUUCUGUCACUUCAUCUUCUCUUUCAUAGUUUACCACGACUUAUCGUCCAAUUUCAACGAUUUCGUUCUUUACAGGUUCUCCUUCAUUACUUCUCCACUGCUGCUCUGUCUACGACUUCUUUCAAUGCUAAGAUCUCAGAGAGGAAAAGCAACCAAUCUAUCUUCAUGGGGACCUU
Molecule: unclassified non-coding RNA, 263 nt
Filed under: Hevea brasiliensis (rubber tree)
Lineage: Eukaryota; Viridiplantae; Streptophyta; Magnoliopsida; Malpighiales; Euphorbiaceae
Source: RNAcentral